This 4350-nucleotide long non-coding RNA is filed under the name Coffea arabica (coffee). RNAcentral's name for it is "long non-coding RNA (CARA_LNC006713)". The record is from RNAcentral. Lineage: Eukaryota; Viridiplantae; Streptophyta; Magnoliopsida; Gentianales; Rubiaceae.
UCGGUGAGGAUCCUUCCUGGAACGCGGAUAAACAUAACCCAAACUCUUUUCUCUUCCCUGCUUUCUUUCACUUAAUCCGUCCCGGUGAGAUAUCCAGUCCUGAAAAAGAACAUGACUUUCAAGAAAAGCAUAUCUGGAAGCGGAAGUAACCAAAUGAUGACAAGAAUAACACUAAAACGUAUGCGUGCUUCAAGCCCCUAAGCUUUAGUAGCAGAACAAGCAUGUGAGAAACAUGUCUAUAGUAAACCACUUGUACCUAUUUUAAUGUGAGAAACUUGUCUAUAGCAAACUGUUUCCUAUUUUGUUUCAGUUACCCUUGAACCAAAAAGAAGGGGGGGAUUCAAUCCCAUGUAAUAUACCAUCCCAGACAUUCAUUUGUCCCCUGCAGAUUCCAAGCGUGAAAAUUCAAGCAUCAUAACUAGAGGCUUUAUGGAGACAAGCAAAGCACCUAAACACACAGGUACUUGGUUAACAGAGCAAAAAAUGCCACGGGAAAGUGAAUGUCAUGCUUAUUUCUUAGAAGGAAAUUGCAGACUAUUAGUAUAGCAUAGCAGUCACAACACUUCCACAACACAUCUUCAAGAUUUGCUGAGUAUUGUAUAACACCAGUACAAAUGUUGCUUUUCGAGAUUUGUGAAUCAAGUAAGCCAGUCCAAUUUGAAGUAAACAACAAAAUUCUACAUGUCUCACGACAUUUUAUAUAAAACUGGUAUUUCAAAAUAGGAUAAAACGGCUCAUUUUGAGCAUCAGUAAUAAUCUACUCACGACAUUAUUUUGUACUUGGACUAAACAAGUAAACACCAAUAUUAUGCAAACUAAGGAGAUUGUGUUCAGAUUUACAAUCAUAACGCAUUAAACUACCUUCGGAGAAACGUAAAUCAUCCGCCACUUUUUGAGCAAAGUCCAUCUGAAAAAUUUGUACCCUCUCAAGAAUAAAAUUCCUUAAUGGUCUUGGCUGAAAUCUGGUUCAUUCACUACAAAAUCAUAACCUGAUUUGUAUUAAAAAAAGGCCACAACAACACAUAAUCAUAGCAAAUAGGUAACACAAAACUUAGGCGUGAAGAAGGAAAAAGUGUACCUGAAUAUUUCCGUCUCAAACUCUUCAUGGCUACAAAUCAUGUCCAUAGCCACACCAAAAUCAAGAACGAACCCCUUAUUUGUAUGGGUAACAACAUUUCUUUUUAAAUGCCAAGCACAUAAUCGGUGACGGGCACAAGGAAUAACUGCCUUUAUUGCAUUUCUCAUUGCACCAUCCCCAUCAGUGACAACUGAGAUAGGUUCCUUUUUUUCCAUGGCCUCCAAAAAUGUUUCCAAUACCCACUUAUAUGUGUCCUCAGUCUCAUCAGCAAUUAAUGCACACCCAAAAAUUGUGGUAACAUAGUGAUGAUUUACACUGGCCAAAAUUACUAGUGGCUUCCUAUAAGCAUUGGUGCGGUAUGUAGAGUCAAAGACAAGAACAUCACCAAAACAUUGGUAAUCCAAACGAGAUUGAGAAUCUGUCCAAAAGAGUCGUAUCAAUCGCUUCUCCACGUCAACGGCAUACUUGUAAAAGAAAUUUGGCUCACCAUUUGCUCGACCAUCCAAAUAUGCCAACACUUGAGAGGCAUCACCAACUUCAAAUGCAUUUCUAAAGUUAAUAUUAAUUAUUUUAAUAUAAUAUUUCAAAAGAGGCCGCUGAAAAAUUUGAUCUAUCACUAAAGGUAAUGGAAACCUAUAAUAGCAGGUUUCUCUAAUAUCGUUACCAUAACUAUAAGCACUGUAACAUUGUCAAGAUCAAAUGCUAAACUUCACAAAAUGAUGAAUGGAAACUGAUUUAUUAUGAUUAAAUGACAAAAUUAGCUAAAAUAUUAAUCAAAUGAAAAUCAAAACUAUAAAUUCUUCAAAAUUAUUAAACCUUCCCUAUUUCAUCCUAAAAUUCACGAAAAAUCUGUCCAAAAAACAUAUUAAAGCAUGCCAACAACAAUUCAGAUUUUGAAGGGACAAAAUUGAUUGUAUUUUCCUAAUUGUUAUGGGCCUUAGUAACAUUAAGCCAAAAUUCGAGGGUUAAACAUGCAAUUUCUGAAAUUUGUUGCAUGCAUGUUACGAAGCUUUCUUAUGCUUCUGCAAUUUCUUAUCCGCAAGGUUCUGCAAGUUUCCAUACCGCAACUUUCUUUCCAUUUCAGCAUGCAGACAUGUUCACCAACUACCAGGAUCUUAACUCUCAAUUAUCAACUAAAUCAAAAGCUACAUUUUGUUGCAGGAUUAAAGCAAAAAUCUGAGCUGACCGUCAGGGACAAAGGGAACUAAUCAGCAAAAGAAAAAAAAUGCAGCAGGACCUUUCUCUGCAAAAUCACAUUUACAAGCUUUCCGUAGCUCUCGGCUAUUCAUCACCUAAAUCUAUCGCACAACAAUGAACGAAAAGGGAACUACAACAUGCCAUUUUGAUAAGAAAAACAAUUCCAUCCCUCUAGCAUCAAGAACAUGAACUAAACUACCCAACCUGAUAAACCCUCUUUCUGAAACAAGAACAUACAACGCAGGAGCAAAGAAUCUGGCUUGACUGAGAUAGAAAGAGGGAGGCCUCAACAACUCGAGCGUAUAAAACACAAAAGAAAGACCAAUGCAACAUCAAAACCUUAGGUUUCCUUUUAAAAUUCUGGUUGAAGACUUUUUGCGAGAAAAUUAUUUCAAUCAGUACCAACCUACCCCAUUACCGAUCACUGGAUUGAGAGCAAGAGGAAAGGAAAGAGGAUAUACAAACGGAUACUUAUGCAUAUUUUAAUAGAAAAUAAGUACAGAAUUCAUUCAUCAAAGCUGUCAACGGAUACUUAGGCAUAUUUUAAUAGAAAAUAAUUGCGGUAAUUUUUAUACAUACCGAAAAUUAAUAGAAAAGAAAAAUCAAAGUCUGAUUUAUGACUUCUAAUUUUUAAAAUUUAAGGGGCAGCCAACCAGAGACAAUAUGAUAACUAACAAUUAAUGUGUUCCAUUUUUCAAGUGGGAAUACAAAAUGAAAGAUCAAAAAAUAUCUAGAGAAAAAGGACAAAACCGUUUUCCAGGAAAUAGGUAGUCAUUGUCUGCAAGUCAUUUCUACUGAUUUUCAUUUCUUAGUAUUGAAUUGCACCGGCCAAACCCACCCUUGAGGGGGCCUUAACUUCCACGUUUUGCAAAACAGCCACAACAAUAAAGGACAAAAAAAUUAAAAUCAAAGAAAACAGCAAGGACCUCUGUUUUGUCGGUUGGAGGAAGAAUCAGGACGCAGCAAAUUCACAACCUUAGAUUCAAGAACUUAAAGCUUAAAAAAAAUAUAUAUAUAUAUAUAUAUAUUGGAACACCAGAAAUUCAAAAGGCAAAAAAUGCAGAAUCAAGCAAAAAAGGAAGAUAGGAAAACAUCCCUUUAUGCAAAAUUGAAGGAGGUAUAUUAAUAUCUUUUCCCUCUCUGCAAAAUUUCAAGUUAUAUUAUAAGAAACUGAUGAAGCUGCACUCAUCCCAUCACCACAAACAAGACUGGAAAGAGAGUAUUAGUGCUUCUCAUCUAAAUAUGUACAUCUGAUUAAACCCAACAACAAAAAAAGAAAAGAAAAGCUACAAAAACCCAUAAGACAAAAGGGGGGGAAAACAGAAGAAGAAGAAGAGGAAGAAAGCAGGUACAAGGAAGAUGAAAUCACUGUCUCUAAUAUGAUUAUUUAGUUUCCAACAGAAGUAGGUCUAUUUUCAGCCAAUCCCAAGGGUGAUCUUGAGCGCUGUUGUCGACUGACAAGGGUGAUUUCUUUAAGAGCUGGUCUCAUCUCUGGCUGCUGAAGAGCACAGAGUAGCAAUCAUAACACACAGAUUUCUCUUUGACAUUUCACCAAACAUCUUAUAUGCAUUCACAAAUUAAUCACAUUUAACUUAAACGCCUAGUCAAGUCCUAGAUGCUUCAUAUGGCUAUUAAGCAUGUUUUACCAGUAGACAAUCCAAACUACAACCAAAUCAAGGCUAGAUGUUUCAGUGGACAUUUUCAGCCCCAAAAUUGCAAUAAAAUCUUCAAAUUCUCAGCCUUGAUUUCGCAAGAAAAUCUUGACAAACAAAACAAAUGAAAUAUAAAUAAAUUACAGCAAUAUAAUCAAACGAUUUCAAGAGGACAUGAUGGGCUAACCUCGUCACUGCUAUCUUUGAUUGGCUACCACCGUCGAAAAACCCUUUUGUUGUGUCUGCAUUUGGCAGCACCCAAAAACAAUCUAUCGAUGAGAAAGGAUAGAGGGAAAGUGGGAACUGAAGAUGAAAAUUUGAAGUGGGAAAAUUUAUUCGCUUGUAACCAAGAGAAAGUGUGGACCAAAGUGGAAAUCUUUGCCUUCAAUCGUAUGUUGGAACUGAGAACUAAGUAAUAAGAAG